This 810-nucleotide long non-coding RNA is filed under the name Mytilus galloprovincialis (Mediterranean mussel). Lineage: Eukaryota; Metazoa; Mollusca; Bivalvia; Mytilida; Mytilidae. The record is from RNAcentral.
AAUGAGGUCAAGGUCAAAGGUCAAGGUCAUAUUCUAAAUUUUGAUUUUGGCUUAUUUUCAUUUAUUUUCAAAUACCUUAUGACAUAUCGACAAAUAAUUUUUUCAUAAAUUGUUAGUUGCGACAUGUCCUUACUUGUAUAUUUUGGUUGAAAGGGUGCGCAGACAAUAAAUGGGAGUUUUUGCCCAUCUUACAUUUAGAAUUACGCGUAAAGUGAUAUUACUCAUAAACCAAACAUAUUAAAGACCUUAGGGUCUUUUGAUUUAAGGUCCUUGGUUUGUGACCUUGAAAUUGAGGUCAAGGUCAUAGGUUAAUAUGACGUUCUAGAUUUUGACCUUUGCUUUAAAUUCAUAUUAAAUACAUCAUAAAGCCAUAGGAACUAACAUUUUUAAACUGAUUUUUAAUAUUUCAAUAUCAAAAUAGAUCUUUACUAGUGGAAAGACCUACAAUUGUUCUCUGAACAAUUGGUUUUUAAUUAUUAUUAUUUUUUUUUUUCUUCCGCCUAAUUUUUUUUCUUGCGUAGUAUUGAUGUUUCAAAAGAUGUCGCUUAGAUAUUUGGAAUAUGAUAUCGUAUAGUUUAUACGCUUUUAAAAAUUUACAACCGCGUAACAAAAUACUUUACGUUGUAAGAGUUAUCUCCCCAAACACUGUUUUUCUUGUGGCCACUACUCCUUCGCAACCGUAAAAGAUUACGACAAAUUUAUUUUACCAAAUUGCUCGUUACAUCUUCAGGAUUAGAAUAUUCAUUUGGACCGAAGCUAUCCGGAGACUCCAUAUGAGAGUUAUUCCCCUUUAUGCAUUUGAUAUUAGUG